CGCGGGGUAGGUUAAUGGUAAACCGGGCCUCUGUCAAAGGCACAGAUACGGGUUCGAGUCCCGUCCCCGCAG
RNAcentral lists this transfer RNA (72 nucleotides) under Elusimicrobiota bacterium. RNAcentral describes it as "Elusimicrobia bacterium (groundwater metagenome) tRNA-Asp". It matches the Rfam family "tRNA". Rfam says of the family: Transfer RNA (tRNA) molecules are approximately 80 nucleotides in length. Their secondary structure includes four short double-helical elements and three loops (D, anti-codon, and T loops). The record is from RNAcentral. Lineage: Bacteria; Pseudomonadati; Elusimicrobiota.